This 926-nucleotide ribosomal RNA is filed under the name Metarhizium cylindrosporum. RNAcentral's name for it is "SSU rRNA". It matches the Rfam family "Eukaryotic small subunit ribosomal RNA", at positions 169 to 1106 of the family's 1831-position model. Lineage: Eukaryota; Fungi; Ascomycota; Sordariomycetes; Hypocreales; Clavicipitaceae. The record is from RNAcentral.
ACAUGCUGAAAAUCCCGACUUCGGAAGGGAUGUAUUUAUUAGAUUAAAAACCAAUGCCCUCUGGGCUCUCUGGUGAUUCAUAAUAACUUCUCGAAUCGCAUGGCCUUGCGCCGGCGAUGGUUCAUUCAAAUUUCUUCCCUAUCAACUUUCGAUGUUUGGGUAGUGGCCAAACAUGGUUGCAACGGGUAACGGAGGGUUAGGGCUCGACCCCGGAGAAGGAGCCUGAGAAACGGCUACUACAUCCAAGGAAGGCAGCAGGCGCGCAAAUUACCCAAUCCCGAUUCGGGGAGGUAGUGACAAUAAAUACUGAUACAGGGCUCUUUUGGGUCUUGUAAUUGGAAUGAGUACAAUUUAAAUCCCUUAACGAGGAACAAUUGGAGGGCAAGUCUGGUGCCAGCAGCCGCGGUAAUUCCAGCUCCAAUAGCGUAUAUUAAAGUUGUUGUGGUUAAAAAGCUCGUAGUUGAACCUUGGGCCUGGCUGGCCGGUCCGCCUCACCGCGUGUACUGGUCCGGCCGGGUCUUUCCCUCUGUGGAACCCCAUGCCCUUCACUGGGUGUGGCGGGGAAACAGGACUUUUACUUUGAAAAAAUUAGAGUGCUCCAGGCAGGCCUAUGCUCGAAUACAUUAGCAUGGAAUAAUGAAAUAGGACGUGCGGUUCUAUUUUGUUGGUUUCUAGGACCGCCGUAAUGAUUAAUAGGGACAGUCGGGGGCAUCAGUAUUCAAUUGUCAGAGGUGAAAUUCUUGGAUUUAUUGAAGACUAACUACUGCGAAAGCAUUUGCCAAGGAUGUUUUCAUUAAUCAGGAACGAAAGUUAGGGGAUCGAAGACGAUCAGAUACCGUCGUAGUCUUAACCAUAAACUAUGCCGACUAGGGAUCGGACGAUGUUAUUUUUUGACUCGUUCGGCACCUUACGAGAAAUCAAAGUGC